RNAcentral lists this long non-coding RNA (2514 nucleotides) under Lupinus angustifolius (narrow-leaved blue lupine). RNAcentral's name for it is "long non-coding RNA (LANG_LNC002813)". The record is from RNAcentral. Lineage: Eukaryota; Viridiplantae; Streptophyta; Magnoliopsida; Fabales; Fabaceae.
UGAGUUGUUGUUAUAUAAUAAUUUAAUUAUAUCUUUAUGAUGUGUUAUGAUUAUUCUCAGAUUUUACAGGGAGCACAAUGUUUAUCACAUACCCCAACACUGAUUUGCAAUUCAGGAGAACACAUGGGAAGAAUAUAUGAAAAAUAAAAAAGGAGAAACUAGACUAAAACACUGAAUUUGAAGGCUGAAAUAUUAACAUUAACAACUCAAUCCCCUAGAUGCUUAAUCUUUUUUGUUUCUGAUAUGCAGGCUUGAGGUUUAUAUUUUUUCUAUUAAAAAAAUGGUGGUUUCUAAGUCAAACUUGCACCAUUUUGAAUUUGAUUUGCUUUUGUCCCUAUGACAUUAUAGUUCAAACCAUGUGUGAUUGUGAUUGUGGAGCAGCCAUGGGUUGUAGACAUUUAACAGGUCCAACCAAAGAAAGUGCUUCCUUAAGAGCCAUUAAGAGAUGCUCUGGGUGAUCCUCAAUUGGAGCAGCUCCACCAUGUUGAGACUGCAUGGAUCUCAAUACCCUACCAACAAUCUGAAAAAAUGAUUAUCAUAAGUUAUGGUAGUGUUUGGGAUGCAGUUCGAACAUGAUAAACUAUUAUGCUGUCUUUGGUUCCACUACUUUUGGUACAACCAAAGUUUUUAAAUUCGAUGUUCUAUUCUGCUCUAUUCAUAAAAUACACCAACUAGAACAUAACAUAUUAUAUGUUUCGUUCUAUUCUGACAUGUUUACUAAAUGUUAUAAUAUAUGUUACCUUUCGUGCGUAGCCACCGUAAGCUAUACCUCCAAUUAAAGCAUGUGAUGAAUUAGAUGAGCUAAUUGUUGAAGUUUCACCAUCUGAGUACUCACAGAAAAAGUUAACUAAAAAUAAGGCUUAUAAUAUGAUGCAAUGACAGAAAAAUAGUGAGUAACAAGAGGAGAAACAAAGUAACAAAGUAAGCAACAUUACUAGCAAUAGAUGUUGUUUGAAAAAGUCCCUCUUUCUUCAAUCCAUCAAUUGUAUGAGCAUUAGUUCCACCAGCCAGUUGAAGAAAACCUAUAAUGUUAAGGGAGUGAAACAUUAAUAGAUAAACCUUGAAGGAUUUGAAGGACCAUAUGUUGAAUUGUGAAUACAAACCUGGAGGUCUUUCUUUUGCUUUAGCCAAUUGAACAGCGAAGGCAAUUGAUUCCUUUGUUGCUCCUCUCCCGAUAUCUCCACUCAUCGGACGGCCAUCCAACUUAAUUUUAUAUAUCAGAGAGUUGGAUUUGUUAUAAGAAACAUGAAAUAAAGUUUAGCUUCUGAAAAAAAAUUAAUUUUCAAACUAUUGGUUUGCAGAUUGGUGUCUGAAUCAAAACUCUGUAUUUCUUUAGCUACCAAAAAGAUCACCAGUUGAUAUUUCUUUGUAUUGGUUGAGCACCCCUUAUGCUCAGUUUAAUACAUUAUUUCUUUAUAAAAAAUUUGGUGGCUGAUAAAUGAUAAUUAGUGGAACUUUGGUUGACUUCAAUAGUAGGGAACGAAAGUAUGUUGAGCCAACAAAAUCAAUCCAGUACAGCUAUGGCCUCAAAGGUUGUUGCUGCCUUCACCUUUAAGUCAAAUUUAUUAUGGUGUCUUUGUUAUAAGGAUUGAAGAGGGGGUAAUAGACAAGAGCUUAAAUAAAUUGUAUGCAUUUUUAAGUUUUUUAUAGAUAAUUUUCAAGUAAGCACCCAUAUGGUCUAUGAAAUUGGAGAUAUCAUUUUUUAAACAUAUGCACGAUAAAACAUUAUAACAGUCUCCGAUCGAUGCAGCUAAUCUUACCUAAUCAGAUUAAAUAUGAGUUGUUGUUAUAUAAUAAUUUAAUUAUAUCUUUAUGAUGUGUUAUGAUUAUUCUCAGAUUUUACAGGGAGCACAAUGUUUAUCACAUACCCCAACACUGAUUUGCAAUUCAGGAGAACACAUGGGAAGAAUAUAUGAAAAAUAAAAAAGGAGAAACUAGACUAAAACACUGAAUUUGAAGGCUGAAAUAUUAACAUUAACAACUCAAUCCCCUAGAUGCUUAAUCUUUUUUGUUUCUGAUAUGCAGGCUUGAGGUUUAUAUUUUUUCUAUUAAAAAAAUGGUGGUUUCUAAGUCAAACUUGCACCAUUUUGAAUUUGAUUUGCUUUUGUCCCUAUGACAUUAUAGUUCAAACCAUGUGUGAUUGUGAUUGUGGAGCAGCCAUGGGUUGUAGACAUUUAACAGGUCCAACCAAAGAAAGUGCUUCCUUAAGAGCCAUUAAGAGAUGCUCUGGGUGAUCCUCAAUUGGAGCAGCUCCACCAUGUUGAGACUGCAUGGAUCUCAAUACCCUACCAACAAUCUGAAAAAAUGAUUAUCAUAAGUUAUGGUAGUGUUUGGGAUGCAGUUCGAACAUGAUAAACUAUUAUGCUGUCUUUGGUUCCACUACUUUUGGUACAACCAAAGUUUUUAAAUUCGAUGUUCUAUUCUGCUCUAUUCAUAAAAUACACCAACUAGAACAUAACAUAUUAUAUGUUUCGUUCUAUUCUGACAUGUUUACUAAAUGUUAUAAUAUAUGUU